Molecule: unclassified non-coding RNA, 329 nt
Filed under: soil metagenome
Description: partial contains 5.8S ribosomal RNA, internal transcribed spacer 2, and large subunit ribosomal RNA
Rfam family: 5.8S ribosomal RNA (bases 1-120)
Source: RNAcentral
GAUGAAGAACGUAGCGAAAUGCGAUAAGUAAUGUGAAUUGCAGAAUUCAGUGAAUCAUCGAAUCUUUGAACGCACAUUGCGCCCCCUGGUAUUCCGGGGGGCAUGCCUGUUCGAGCGUCAUUACAACCCUCAAGCUCUGCUUGGUAUUGGGCCCCGCCAGUUCUGGCGGGCCCUAAAGUCAGUGGCGGUGCCUUCCGGCUCCGAGCGUAGUAAUUCUUCUCGCUCUGGAGACCCGGUUGUGUGCUUGCCAACAACCCCCAAUUUUUUAAGGUUGACCUCGAAUCAGGUAGGGAUACCAGCUGAACUUAAGCAUAUCAAUAAGCGGAGGA